AGAUACGACAAGGUCGAACGAUGAAGCCCAGCUUGCUGGGUGGAUUAGUGGCGAACGGGUGAGUAACACGUGAGUAACCUGCCCCCGACUCUGGGAUAAGCCCGGGAAACUGGGUCUAAUACCGGAUAUGACCUCGCACCGCAUGGUGCGGGGUGGAAAGAUUUAUCGGUGGGGGAUGGACUCGCGGCCUAUCAGCUUGUUGGUGAGGUAAUGGCUCACCAAGGCGACGACGGGUAGCCGGCCUGAGAGGGUGACCGGCCACACUGGGACUGAGACACGGCCCAGACUCCUACGGGAGGCAGCAGUGGGGAAUAUUGCACAAUGGGCGCAAGCCUGAUGCAGCGACGCCGCGUGAGGGAUGACGGCCUUCGGGUUGUAAACCUCUUUCAGUAGGGAAGAAGCGAAAGUGACGGUACCUGCAGAAGAAGCGCCGGCUAACUACGUGCCAGCAGCCGCGGUAAUACGUAGGGCGCAAGCGUUAUCCGGAUUUAUUGGGCGUAAAGAGCUCGUAGGCGGUUUGUCGCGUCUGCCGUGAAAGUCCGAGGCUCAACCUCGGAUCUGCGGUGGGUACGGGCAGACUAGAGUGAUGUAGGGGAGACUGGAAUUCCUGGUGUAGCGGUGAAAUGCGCAGAUAUCAGGAGGAACACCGAUGGCGAAGGCAGGUCUCUGGGCAUUUACUGACGCUGAGGAGCGAAAGCAUGGGGAGCGAACAGGAUUAGAUACCCUGGUAGUCCAUGCCGUAAACGUUGGGCACUAGGUGUGGGGGACAUUCCACGUUUUCCGCGCCGUAGCUAACGCAUUAAGUGCCCCGCCUGGGGAGUACGGCCGCAAGGCUAAAACUCAAAGGAAUUGACGGGGGCCCGCACAAGCGGCGGAGCAUGCGGAUUAAUUCGAUGCAACGCGAAGAACCUUACCAAGGCUUGACAUGUGCCAGACCGCUCCAGAGAUGG
RNAcentral lists this ribosomal RNA (950 nucleotides) under Arthrobacter sp. OVC20. Its description in RNAcentral is "bacterial SSU rRNA". It matches the Rfam family "Bacterial small subunit ribosomal RNA", at positions 49 to 1009 of the family's 1533-position model. The record is from RNAcentral. Lineage: Bacteria; Bacillati; Actinomycetota; Actinomycetes; Micrococcales; Micrococcaceae.